UGACUCUCAAUUGAUUUAAAUAUUGAAAAAUCUUCUAUCGAAAAAAAAAAUAGAUAAUAAAAUUUUGCUUUAAGUCUAAUUGCAACCAAAGACUAGUGACAAUCACAUCUUCGAGUCCAUGUAAUAUAUCAGAAGAUUACCGACUUCACCAUGGCCUCAGCAUUAUCGAUCUUAAUCCAAUCUCAAAGUUCAAUAGUAGUAGCAGCAGCAACA
Molecule: long non-coding RNA, 213 nt
Filed under: Elaeis guineensis (African oil palm)
Lineage: Eukaryota; Viridiplantae; Streptophyta; Magnoliopsida; Arecales; Arecaceae
Description: long non-coding RNA (EGUI_LNC026649)
Source: RNAcentral